Molecule: ribosomal RNA, 1102 nt
Filed under: Salmonella enterica subsp. enterica serovar Ohio
Lineage: Bacteria; Pseudomonadati; Pseudomonadota; Gammaproteobacteria; Enterobacterales; Enterobacteriaceae
Description: partial 23S ribosomal RNA
Rfam family: Bacterial large subunit ribosomal RNA
Source: RNAcentral
CGUAUCACUUAAAGCGAUUCAGCGGGUUACGAUUGACGGAGCGAAGCGACGUCAAAGCGUAUACAAAGUCGAGUCGGUUUAAGGAUACGUUCGUUGGGUAGGGGAGCGUUCUGUAAGCCUGUGAAGGUGGCCUGUGAGGGUUGCUGGAGGUAUCAGAAGUGCGAAUGCUGACAUAAGUAACGAUAAAGCGGGUGAAAAGCCCGCUCGCCGGAAGACCAAGGGUUCCUGUCCAACGUUAAUCGGGGCAGGGUGAGUCGACCCCUAAGGCGAGGCCGAAAGGCGUAGUCGAUGGGAAACGGGUUAAUAUUCCCGUACUUGGUGUUACUGCGAAGGGGGGACGGAGAAGGCUAUGUUGGCCGGGCGACGGUUGUCCCGGUUUAAGCGUGUAGGUGUGUGUUCCAGGUAAAUCCGGUUCACUUUAACACUGAGGCGUGAUGACGAGGCACUACGGUGCUGAAGCAACAAAUGCCCUGCUUCCAGGAAAAGCCUCUAAGCAUCAGGUAACAUCAAAUCGUACCCCAAACCGACACAGGUGGUCAGGUAGAGAAUACCAAGGCGCUUGAGAGAACUCGGGUGAAGGAACUAGGCAAAAUGGUGCCGUAACUUCGGGAGAAGGCACGCUGACACGUAGGUGAAGUGAUUUACUCAUGGAGCUGAAGUCAGUCGAAGAUACCAGCUGGCUGCAACUGUUUAUUAAAAACACAGCACUGUGCAAACACGAAAGUGGACGUAUACGGUGUGACGCCUGCCCGGUGCCGGAAGGUUAAUUGAUGGGGUCAGCGCAAGCGAAGCUCCUGAUCGAAGCCCCGGUAAACGGCGGCCGUAACUAUAACGGUCCUAAGGUAGCGAAAUUCCUUGUCGGGUAAGUUCCGACCUGCACGAAUGGCGUAAUGAUGGCCAGGCUGUCUCCACCCGAGACUCAGUGAAAUUGAACUCGCUGUGAAGAUGCAGUGUACCCGCGGCAAGACGGAAAGACCCCGUGAACCUUUACUAUAGCUUGACACUGAACAUUGAGCCUUGAUGUGUAGGAUAGGUGGGAGGCUUUGAAGUGUGGACGCCAGUCUGCAUGGAGCCGACCUUGAAAUACCACCCUUUAAUGUUU